UGAAACUUGAGCCAAAAUAAAUCUUUGC
RNAcentral lists this non-coding RNA (28 nucleotides) under Mus musculus (house mouse). The record is from RNAcentral. RNAcentral also lists the same sequence under 1 other name. Lineage: Eukaryota; Metazoa; Chordata; Mammalia; Rodentia; Muridae.